UGCCAGCAGCCGCGGUAAUACGGAGGGUGCGAGCGUUAAUCGGAAUUACUGGGCGUAAAGCGCGCGUAGGUGGUUUGCUAAGCAGGAUGUGAAAGCCCCGGGCUUAACCUGGGAACUGCAUCCUGAACUGGCAGACUAGAGUACGAUAGAGGAUAGUGGAAUUUCUGGUGUAGCGGUGAAAUGCGUAGAUAUCAGAAGGAACAUCAGUGGCGAAGGCGACUGUCUGGAUCGAUACUGACACUGAGGUGCGAAAGCGUGGGGAGCAAACAGGAUUAGAUA
RNAcentral lists this ribosomal RNA (279 nucleotides) under uncultured bacterium. RNAcentral's name for it is "partial 16S ribosomal RNA". It matches the Rfam family "Bacterial small subunit ribosomal RNA", at positions 506 to 784 of the family's 1533-position model. The record is from RNAcentral.